This is a small nuclear RNA of Sciurus carolinensis (gray squirrel), 107 nucleotides long. Lineage: Eukaryota; Metazoa; Chordata; Mammalia; Rodentia; Sciuridae. The record is from RefSeq and is a predicted model, not a curated record.
GUGCUGGCUUUGGCAGCACAUAUACUAAAAUUGGAAUGCUACAGAGAAGAUUAGUAUUGCCCCUGUGCAAGAAUGGCAUGCAAAUUCAUGAAAUGUCCCAUAUUUUU